Molecule: ribosomal RNA, 253 nt
Filed under: uncultured bacterium
Lineage: Bacteria
Description: partial 16S ribosomal RNA
Rfam family: Bacterial small subunit ribosomal RNA
Source: RNAcentral
UACAGAGGGUGCGAGCGUUAAUCGGAAUUACUGGGCGUAAAGCGUGCGUAGACGGCUAUCUAAGUCGGGUGUGAAAGCCCCGGGCUCAACCUGGGAAUUGCACUCGAGACUGAAUAGCUAGGGUACGGUAGAGGGAAGCGGAAUUUCCGGUGUAGCGGUGAAAUGCGUAGAUAUCGGAAGGAACAUCAGUGGCGAAAGCGGCUUCCUGGACCAGUACCGACGUUCAGGCACGAAAGCGUGGGGAGCAAACAGG